CGCUGAAAGCUUGUGUCCAGGGAGAAGAAGAAAAGGGUCCGAACCCUCGUUCCAAGUUCAAGGUGCCGUAACUUUUCGAUCCGAGCUCCGACCGUCGCACCGUUUGCGGUCACGCGUCUACCGCGUCGAGCUUUACAUUUCUACCGGAACAAUUUCAUAGGAUCCAAUUAGCUUGAGGGAAACGUUUACUCUUGCUUAUGUGAAGCUUGGGUAAGAUGCAGGUCGAGAGGCAUCUCGUUAGGCGUCUGGACCCUUGAAGCGGAGUGGUUACAGGGUUAUUUUGUUAUGCUAUGAUGUGUAUAUAUGUACUUGGUUUUCUCUCCGCAUAACUUGUUCUUUUGAUCCUCUUAGAGGUUUAUGGAGAGGCAGGAUUGUGUAUAUGUACUUUUGGGUU
Molecule: long non-coding RNA, 394 nt
Organism: Arachis stenosperma
Lineage: Eukaryota; Viridiplantae; Streptophyta; Magnoliopsida; Fabales; Fabaceae
Exons: 3
Source: RefSeq, a predicted model, not a curated record